GUGAGGAAUUUUCCGCAAUGGGCGAAAGCCUGACGGAGCAAUGCCGCGUGAAGGAUGAAGGCCUAUGGGUUGUAAACUUCUUUUCUCAGAAAAGAAUUAUGACGGUAUCUGAGGAAUAAGCAUCGGCUAACUCUGUGCCAGCAGCCGCGGUAAGACAGAGGAUGCAAACGUUAUCCGGAAUGAUUGGGCGUAAAGCGUCUGUAGGUUGUUUAAAAAGUAUUCUGUCAAAGAUUAGGGCUUAACCCUAGAUAGGCAGAAUAAACUUUUAGCUAGAGUUUGGUAGAGGCAGAGGGAAUUCCCGGUGGAGCGGUGAAAUGCGUAGAUAUCGGGAGGAACACCAAAGGCGAAGGCACUCUGCUGGGCCAAUACUAACACUGAGAGACGAAAGCGAGGGGAGCAAAUGGGAUUAGAAACCCUGGUAGUCC
This 425-nucleotide ribosomal RNA is filed under the name uncultured bacterium. RNAcentral's name for it is "bacterial SSU rRNA". It matches the Rfam family "Bacterial small subunit ribosomal RNA", at positions 354 to 796 of the family's 1533-position model. The record is from RNAcentral.